This 1325-nucleotide long non-coding RNA is filed under the name Microcebus murinus (gray mouse lemur). RNAcentral's name for it is "lncRNA (ENSMICG00000048216.1)". The record is from RNAcentral. Lineage: Eukaryota; Metazoa; Chordata; Mammalia; Primates; Cheirogaleidae.
CUCUGCCUGAAGCCAAACGCUGCUGAGCCCAGAGGCCUCUCCACUGCCCCAGCCCUCGUGCUCCGUGAGUGAGAAAGAAGUCUCUGUCCUGAGUCGUCGAGAUACUGGGUUUGCUUGUUUCAAGAGCAAAAUCUGACUGAGUAAUCAGGGUGAUGAUCAGGGGACACUGAGCUGGCUUCAAAGCAGCCCUUGCCCAGGUCAGGGAGGACUGUCCGGUAUGUGGUUUGUGACUCAGGUGGCACUAUUUCUCCUCCCGUUUCUGGGUGUGAGGGGUCAAGUAAUUACACAUGUCAUGCAUCUGUUGGGUGUUUUUUGUUUUUGUUGUUCAAAAUUCAGUUAGAAAAUGAUUGGCUGGGAGUAGAGGAAGAUGAAACUGAAAGUAAAAUUCCCAGCCUUUAAGAGAACACCCUGCAGGCAGGGGACAGAACACCUGACACAGCGGCUGUGGCUUCAGUAUGUCUGGGGUGCUAGCUGGGAUCCUGGCUGGGAGUGUGCUGAUCGCGUGCGCCUUGAUCUGUAUGUUCUGGGACAAUUUACCAUAUGGAACACAAAAGGAAUCGGCGUCCACCCACCAAGAGGACACUGAGUAUCACAGGUGAGCCCCGGAGCUCCUCAGAGGGUGCAGAGAUGCCCCCAGGGGUGGAGACUGGCGGGUCCUCCAGGUUCUUGUUUCCUGCCCAGGAUGGGUGAGCCCCACGGGGUCUCAGGGCCUCAGUUCCACCCCUCCCUCACCCUUAACACCCCUCCCGUGUGUCUGUUUGUCCAGGAGAGACGAGUGGAUGUCAACGAGCAUGCAAGUGGCACCUCGUUUGCAUAGUGACACAAUGAGGUCUCGCGCUCUGUGUAACAGAAGCUAAAGAUUCCAGAGGUGUCUCUCAUGGGGACCAAAAGAAGGCCUAACCUUCUGGACCUCCAGGACCCUGGUUGUCCCUGCCGUGACGACCUAGGGAAAUGUCCCCACCUGAUCACAUAAUCGACUCCACGCUCCAGUGCAGCCUGCGCUCUGCACUCAGCCUGCUGGAUCGCGCUGCUCCUCUAGUCAACGGAAGAUGGGGAUUUGAGAUGGAUUUGAACAGAGAGGCCUGCCUAGGGCACGUGCAUCUGUGAGGGGCACCCAUGCCUGGGGCCUUGGGGGACACCCUCCCUGCGCUCCCCUGCACAUGAGCUCGUGGGUUGGAGGAACAAAUAUCUAGCCGCUUAACCCUAACUCUUCAGUCACUGCUGCAUUUAAUAAACACGAGUGAGCAUUUCAUGUGGUCAAAGCUCUCUCUGGCAGGAGGGGGACAAUGGUGAGGGUGACACAGUCCGUUCCCUCAAGGAAGUCC